RNAcentral lists this ribosomal RNA (351 nucleotides) under gamma proteobacterium SCGC AAA023-G14. Its description in RNAcentral is "partial 16S small subunit ribosomal RNA". It matches the Rfam family "Bacterial small subunit ribosomal RNA", at positions 369 to 710 of the family's 1533-position model. Lineage: Bacteria; Pseudomonadati; Pseudomonadota; Gammaproteobacteria. The record is from RNAcentral.
CAAUGGGCGCAAGCCUGAUCCAGCCAUGCCGCGUGUGCUGAAGAAGGCCUUCGGGUUGUAAAGCCCUUUUCUCGGGGAGGAUAGGNNUNUUGGUUAAUACNNUGAAGUUUUGACGUUACCCACAGAAUAAGCACCGGCUAACUCCGUGCCAGCAGCCGCGGUAAUACGUAGGGUGCAAGCGUUAAUCGGAAUUACUGGGCGUAAAGCGUGCGUAGGUGGUUNGUNNNGUCNGAUGUGAAAUCCCCGGGCUCAACCUGGGAACUGCAUUGGAAACUGGCAGGCUANNGUCUGGUAGAGGGNGGUGGAAUUCCNGGUGUAGCGGUGAAAUGCGUAGAUAUCCGGAGGAACACC